AACCCAUAGUGAGGACACUUUCUCAAUAAGUCCUUGUAUCUCUCCCACGCAUCGUAAAGUGUUUCUAAAUCCAUCUGCACAAAAGAAGAGAUAUCAUUACGCAAUUU
This 107-nucleotide small nucleolar RNA is filed under the name Gossypium hirsutum (cotton). RNAcentral's name for it is "Plant small nucleolar RNA R71". It matches the Rfam family "Plant small nucleolar RNA R71". From Rfam's summary of the family: R71 is a member of the C/D box family of snoRNAs containing the C (UGAUGA) and D (CUGA) box motifs. Multiple nearly identical copies of this snoRNA have been identified in Arabidopsis, and it is thought to function as a 2'-O-ribose methylation guide for 18S ribosomal RNA. The record is from Rfam by way of RNAcentral. Lineage: Eukaryota; Viridiplantae; Streptophyta; Magnoliopsida; Malvales; Malvaceae.